UUUAAAUCACCUAUUAAUAAAUCCCCAAUUAAGAAGCAAUUGGAGAAAAGCAGCUCAAAAGCUGGUCUAGAAGAGGAAAACAACUAAUGGAGGCGGAGGAGACCGGCGGCGACACCGAAAAGAUCCGCAUCGCCACCCACUGGUAUUGGGCCUUAGCGAGCGUAACCCAGCUCGGAUGGGCAGCAUCUUCGUAUCGAAAAGGUUAUAUCGGUGACCACCGUUUGAUGCCCGUCAAAGCCUUCGGCGUCGCUUCCUUGUUCCUCGGCGCCUCCGCCACUGCUUCCAUCGCUUUCCUUAAAGCCUCCGGCAUUCACAAAGUCGAAGAUCUGAUGGAGGUGGGUGCGAGUAUAAGAAGUGGACUUGGAAUUCGUCCGAGGACAGGGGAUAAAUGAGUCCUUGUUUCCCAAUUCUCUUUUGAAGAGCUUUCCGGGCCAAAAACUCGAGUCAUGCUCCAAAAAGAUUUCAGCAGAGUACAGAAUUUGAUCAAUUCUGAAUAAUCUGCAAACAUCAUGAAAUACUGCAUAAUUUAUGUCUAAUCAACUUGGAACCAAACAGGUCUCUGGCGGUGCAAGCCCAUGGAAGAUGCAGGCCAAAGCCCAUGGAAGAUGCAGGCCGAAGCCCAUGGAAGAUGCAGCCCAUGGACUAGCAGUCGUGAUGAGAGCUCCAAUGUCAGAUAUAAACAGGUUUAACAUCAUUGACACUGAAGCUUGCAACACACACAGGACACUUGCGGUGACGGCUUUCGGUGAUUUUCUGUACACAAGGGUUGCAGAAGAGAUGAUAGCAUUUUGUAAUAACAACCUGGAGAAUGGACAACAUAUCUAUAAGAAAAUUGGGAAAUAGACUGGGAAAUUUGAAAC
Molecule: RNA transcript, 860 nt
Organism: Hibiscus syriacus
Lineage: Eukaryota; Viridiplantae; Streptophyta; Magnoliopsida; Malvales; Malvaceae
Exons: 4
Source: RefSeq, a predicted model, not a curated record